ACAUUUGUCCUCCAUUCAGAUAACGAUGCCGCCGCAGGCAGAGGCAGGGGCCGUGCUGCCCGUGGUGUCGGCGACGGCAGGGGCGCCGCGCGUGGGGCCGGCCCCUCCUCCCCUGCCCCUGCCGCCGCAGGCCCCUUGGGCCGCCUGCCUCCCGACCUGCGCCAAGCAAUGGAACACCCUUUGCCGCCGGCGCCGGUAGGCCCUUCGGAGCCCCCGACUCCGCCACAGCCUGCGCAGCCCGAGGCCUAGGCGGCGAUCCCGGCGUCAAGCAAGGCGAUCCGAUUCGUGCUGCGGCCGGGCAAGGGCGGCGCCAGCAGCAGGUGCCUGGUGAAGGCGAACCAUUUCAUUGCUCAGCUCACUGACAAGGACCUCCACCACUACCAUGGUUCAUUGCAUGGAAGACCUGCUGAGAACAUGCACAUAGUGUGGAGGACAACCGGGCGUUGCGAUAUCGCGCUCUUUCUUUAUUCCUAGUAGAAGUUACUCACAUGUCUUUUGUUGAAUGACGCUUUCCGCAUUGAUCACCCUCCUGUGCUUUCUAUGAAAUUCAGAGGUCGUGGGACCUUAUGUUGCGUGCUCCUGAUCAGUCUUGAUAAGAGUAUGAGCGCUUUAUCUUGUAUAAUCAUGCCACAGUAUGUUUUUGCCAGAUCAUGUGUUAUCUUUCAGACUUGUACGGUUGAAUCUCUCGAUGGCCGGGCAAUGGUCGCUCCCAAUUCAGAGCAUCCAGGCUCCCACCUCCACCACCUGCGUUGGGCGUCCAAAUGCACCUCCCUCCAUUUGUUCUCGUCACAUCGUUAUCUGAAAUUAAAUUCUGAAUACAUUAUCUGAACUCUGAAUUAGCACUGUUGGUGCCUCUCCUGUCAUGACCAAACUUGCUGAUUAUAAUGCGACUCUUCAUAUGGCAUGUACUCUUUUCUUUGUUCUGGCUGAAAAGCUUUGGCAUGGAGAAGGCUUAAAGCAUGUCUGAUGUUAAUAGCGUGACCCUUGCAACUGUGCCUAAAUCACACAACUGUAAGGAUAUCACAUUUAUGGAGGUCAGCAGUAUAAUUUGUCAAGAUCGUACUACUGUCAAUUUAGAUUAUCACUGCAUGUCAAAAGUACUAAUGUCACUGUCUAUUGCUUCUUAAAAAUGGUCUGUGCUUUUCAUUUCCCUUUAUAUGACUUAAUGCACUGAGAACAGCCUUGAGCAUUGCCAUAUUUAAGCGGAUAUCCUCAGAAUCAGCAGCUUUACAACUAAAAAAUUGCACUACCCAGGCUGCCUAGCCGAACACAUUAAACUAGUCUAGUUGUUGGUCAGUGAUUAUGUAUGUGGUUGGGCAUCCUGUUUGUUUCUGUUCCACCAGGGAAUGCUGAAUCAUACUUGUGCUGUGUAUGAAUUGGCUCUCCCGGCGGUGCUGACAGUUAAUGAUGGAAUGAAGGGUCUCCAUUAUAUAGCAUAUGUCUUCUUUGUUUCCUUCCUUCUUAUUAGCUACAAUGCUCUAAUUCUUUAAUGUGUUUGGAUGAACUCUCCCCUAUCAUAAAGCACAUAUGCUGCUUGAAGGAUUUGGUACAUCUGCACGUCUUGGACUGCAAUGGGCAUCCACUUAUCCAGGCUGAACUGAUUGUCCACCCUUCGUGAUAAAAUGUCGUUUCGUACCAUAGGACAUCUUCAGAAAAUAAAUAAAUGGGCAUCCACAGGACCUGUGAGACGCCCAGCCAUGGGCAAGCUCUACGUCGGCAUCUUAGUUUGAGUACCUUGCCACUGUCACUUAGUUUUUUUGAUGGACCGAUGGAUUGAUUCGCCCCCUGCUGUUUGCUGAGAAUGCCCUCCCAAAGUAUAGAUUUGCAGAUGAUUUCUGUAGAUCUAAUUGCUGUUGUGGCUUCCCUCCUGUUGGAGGGAGCAGCUUCAUCUUCUUGCGCUUGCUGCAUUGUUGUUUACCUCGUUACACUGCCUACGUCGUAUCUUUCUUUCUAGAUAGCAUUCUAGUGUGGUAACAUAUGAUUUACAACUUCCUAUUCAUGAUGCUAUACAAACUUUGAAAAUUGGUACUUUAGUCAAAUGUGCUUCCUCUCUGAACAAAUGUUUCUACUUAUCCAUCCUGGAGACUGAUUGCAUGCUAUCGUAGAUGGGUCUGGGUGUGCAGCGCUGCCUUUGUGUUACUACUACUAUGCAGUUUAGAAACGAAAAACAUGUAAUUGGCUUGAUGCAUUCCUUGGUUUUGCCUUACACACAAAUAUGUGUAACUCUGAUGAUGAGAAGACAAUUUGAUCAUUUUAUUGAUGGUGAUGAUGAUGACGUAUGGCAGAACUGGCUUGAUUAUAUUGAUGAAUUCCUUUCCAGGUGUUCCGCAAGGAUACCAGGACGAUACUCUCUAGGAAGGAGCUGUUCAAGGACACACUCAAGAAGGCUCUGCACGCCUGGAAGCGCAUUGUCGACCUGCGUCUCACAGAGGAGGAAGCAAACUUGCUGAAGCAAACUUGCUCGGCAAGAAAGGAUCCCUCAAGCUGGACGAAUGGGUGCUGUGCCGGCUGUACAACGCGUUUCUUGUGGACAAGCUUGAACGCUUUGAGACGGCCAUUAGCAAACGCGCCGUAGAGAUGGCCAUGGGCACAUACAGAUGUUUUGCAUCAGCCUGUCAUUGCUAAGGAAGAAGCAGUACUUGAAAAAGCAGACUACAUGUUUUCUUGUUGUGAAGCACUAGAUAGUUCUAUUUAUUCUUUCCUGUUCUAGAGUAUUUCAGCAGCUGAAUGCUUGAAUACGUAAUGUUGUAGGUUGCUUGGAUCUGUAUAAAAUACGGAUGUGAUGGAAAUUUGUAGAAUGUGAGUUUUGAGAUA
Molecule: long non-coding RNA, 2814 nt
Organism: Triticum dicoccoides
Lineage: Eukaryota; Viridiplantae; Streptophyta; Magnoliopsida; Poales; Poaceae
Exons: 5
Source: RefSeq, a predicted model, not a curated record